RNAcentral lists this ribosomal RNA (465 nucleotides) under Vreelandella stevensii. Its description in RNAcentral is "partial 16S ribosomal RNA". It matches the Rfam family "Bacterial small subunit ribosomal RNA", at positions 338 to 795 of the family's 1533-position model. The record is from RNAcentral. Lineage: Bacteria; Pseudomonadati; Pseudomonadota; Gammaproteobacteria; Oceanospirillales; Halomonadaceae.
CCUACGGGAGGCAGCAGUGGGGAAUAUUGGACAAUGGGGGGAACCCUGAUCCAGCCAUGCCGCGUGUGUGAAGAAGGCCCUCGGGUUGUAAAGCACUUUCAGUGAGGAAGAACGCCUGGUGGUUAAUACCCAUCAGGAAAGACAUCACUCACAGAAGAAGCACCGGCUAACUCCGUGCCAGCAGCCGCGGUAAUACGGAGGGUGCGAGCGUUAAUCGGAAUUACUGGGCGUAAAGCGCGCGUAGGUGGCUUGAUAAGCCGGUUGUGAAAGCCCCGGGCUCAACCUGGGAACGGCAUCCGGAACUGUCGAGCUAGAGUGCAGGAGAGGAAGGUAGAAUUCCCGGUGUAGCGGUGAAAUGCGUAGAGAUCGGGAGGAAUACCAGUGGCGAAGGCGGCCUUCUGGACUGACACUGACACUGAGGUGCGAAAGCGUGGGUAGCAAACAGGAUUAGAUACCCCAGUAGUC